GGAUCCAGACUUCGAUUCUGGCUCAGGAUGAACGCUAGCUACAGGCUUAACACAUGCAAGUCGAGGGGAAACGAUAUUGGAAGCUUGCUUCCGAUAGGCGUCGACCGGCGCACGGGUGAGUAACGCGUAUCCAACCUGCCCAUCACUUGGGGAUAACCUUGCGAAAGUAAGACUAAUACCCAAUGAUAUCUCUAGAAGACAUCUGAAGGAGAUUAAAGAUUCAUCGGUGAUGGAUGGGGAUGCGUCUGAUUAGCUUGUUGGCGGGGUAACGGCCCACCAAGGCGACGAUCAGUAGGGGUUCUGAGAGGAAGGUCCCCCACAUUGGAACUGAGACACGGUCCAAACUCCUACGGGAGGCAGCAGUGAGGAAUAUUGGUCAAUGGGCGAGAGCCUGAACCAGCCAAGUAGCGUGCAGGAUGACGGCCCUAUGGGUUGUAAACUGCUUUUAUAAGGGAAUAAAGUGAGCCUCGUGAGGCUUUUUGCAUGUACCUUAUGAAUAAGGACCGGCUAAUUCCGUGCCAGCAGCCGCGGUAAUACGGAAGGUCCGGGCGUUAUCCGGAUUUAUUGGGUUUAAAGGGAGCGUAGGCCGGAGAUUAAGCGUGUUGUGAAAUGUAGAUGCUCAACAUCUGCACUGCAGCGCGAACUGGUUUCCUUGAGUACGCACAAAGUGGGCGGAAUUCGUGGUGUAGCGGUGAAAUGCUUAGAUAUCACGAAGAACUCCGAUUGCGAAGGCAGCUCACUGGAGCGCAACUGACGCUGAAGCUCGAAAGUGCGGGUAUCGAACAGGAUUAGAUACCCUGGUAGUCCGCACGGUAAACGAUGGAUGCCCGCUGUUGGUCUGAAUAGGUCAGCGGCCAAGCGAAAGCAUUAAGCAUCCCACCUGGGGAGUACGCCGGCAGCGGUGCAACUCAAAUGAAUUGACGG
Molecule: ribosomal RNA, 924 nt
Filed under: uncultured Bacteroidota bacterium
Lineage: Bacteria; Pseudomonadati; Bacteroidota
Description: bacterial SSU rRNA
Rfam family: Bacterial small subunit ribosomal RNA
Source: RNAcentral